This 589-nucleotide non-coding RNA is filed under the name Pongo abelii (Sumatran orangutan). Lineage: Eukaryota; Metazoa; Chordata; Mammalia; Primates; Hominidae. The record is from RNAcentral.
AGAGAGAGAGAGAAAGAGAGAGAGAAGACAGUGCUACUGAAGGCCUGUGGUGAGGCAAGCAGAGGCUCAGGAAGGGAGCAGAGGAUGGCGGUCUGAGGUUCCACCAGCCCCACCCUAGGCAGACCCACUUAGCUCACCUCCAAAGGACCCAAGAAUGGAUGGCUUGGCCUGGGCUCCCCAAGAGCACUUCCUGGCUCACGGUCGGCUUGCCCAGUGAAUGUGGCUGUGACGGCUGGAGCUUCCGACUUCCGCUCCUCCUCACCACAACACACACCCCUCCUGCUCCCCGCCGCCUCCCCAGGGUUCCCUAGCUGCUCAACACCUCACACUUCCUGCCCACAAGAUAAGAGCCUCUCCUCCUAGGCCCAGCGCCUCCAGCUCCCUUCCCCAUGCCCCUGCUCCUUGGAGGCCCCCACCCUGCACACCAGCCUAGAAAGAACCUGCCAUGGUGGAACUGGCCUCUCCCUGCCAUGCAGGGGCCUGGGAUUGAAAGGGGAAGGGGCCGAGGCCUGGUUGGUAAGCAGGCCCCACCUCCUUCCUCCCUGCGGUUCUGCCCCAGGUUCUCAGUCUUGCUCUGGCUCUCGGUCCC